ACACCUCAACUCUCAUGGUUUGCCAUGAUGAGCUUGGACUUUGGGGGUCUUGCUGGCCUGUGGUCAGCUCCUCUCAAAUGGAUCAGCUUUCCAGUGUUUGGUGGCGUUGCGGGUGUGAUAACUAUCUACGCUCGUGGUGUUCCACCAGGUAACCUUCAGCAAUGGGGGUUCACUGGAGCUCAUAAACGUCUCCUUGGUGGGGACAGCUUUGUGAAU
RNAcentral lists this unclassified non-coding RNA (216 nucleotides) under uncultured Tomentella. RNAcentral's name for it is "sequence contains ITS2". The record is from RNAcentral. RNAcentral also lists the same sequence under 1 other name. Lineage: Eukaryota; Fungi; Basidiomycota; Agaricomycetes; Thelephorales; Thelephoraceae.